UGUCGGUCCCCCGCAACGAUACCUCGUGAACCUGGUCAGGUCCGGAAGGAAGCAGCCACAGCGAGCGACUCGUGUGCCGGGGUGUGGCUGGCGGGG
Non-coding RNA from Oceanospirillum linum, 96 nucleotides. It matches the Rfam family "Bacterial small signal recognition particle RNA". Rfam says of the family: The signal recognition particle (SRP) is a universally conserved ribonucleoprotein involved in the co-translational targeting of proteins to membranes. Archaeal SRP consists of a 7S RNA and homologues of the eukaryotic SRP19 and SRP54 proteins. In most bacteria, the SRP consists of a 4.5S RNA and the Ffh protein (a homologue of the eukaryotic SRP54 protein). Lineage: Bacteria; Pseudomonadati; Pseudomonadota; Gammaproteobacteria; Oceanospirillales; Oceanospirillaceae. The record is from Rfam.